Long non-coding RNA from Oncorhynchus kisutch (coho salmon), 1555 nucleotides. NCBI's taxonomy places the organism in Eukaryota, Metazoa, Chordata, Actinopteri, Salmoniformes, Salmonidae. The record is from Ensembl.
AUGGUAACCAUGGUGCUGUCCAUCGGACACAGGCACUCUCUCCGCGAUCCGGCUUUGGGACUCAACUUUGCCAUGAAGUUCAGAGCUCUAAUAACAAACGUCCUACAGCGUAUCGUCCAGCUCAUGCAGGAGGAGGAGUGUGUGAGUGUUCAAUCUUGUCCUUUGAGUGACAAACUCACUUAUUUACAUUCUUUCAUGUGUCAUAUCUCAAACACUUAACUUUCCUGUGUACCAUGUGUAAUUAUAAUCAUUUGAGGGGUGCUUAUAUUUGUCCUGUUCCACAUGUGUGUAAUGGAAAUGUUGUUGUUGUUGUUGCAUAUCCCAACUCCUUCUGAGACACCCUCAGGGAGUGGGAUUACGGCCAGGGUCGCCAUUAUAUAGCGCCCCUGGAGCAAUUAGGGUUAAGUGUCUUGCUCAAGGGCACGGCGACAGAUACAUUAUUUUACCUUGUCGGCUCCGGUAUUCGAACCAGCAACCCUUCUGUUACUGACCAAACAUCAAGGCUACCUGCCACCCCAUCUACCUGUUAUAAACCUGUUCUAAUAAGCUGUCGUAAACAACCAUUGACUUAAACAUCAGCUUAGCUCUGCAAAGGCCUCACUUACAUCACAUUCAUCUCCUAGUCUCUGACAACAACAGUAUAUCCCAGUCUCCUUUACCCUCUCCUCAGUAGAUAUCCCUGCUCCUCUUAUAUUUUGACCCUGGCUCUACCACUGCCCCGGCCUUUUCUCCAGUGGUGUCCCAUUCUCUGUAAUAGUUGGAGGCUCUGUGGAGGCACAGUCCUCAGGGACGUCGCCCUGAGUGAAAGCAAUACUUUUAAUUACCCAGAAUCCUUCUCCAGCGAGACGCGGCCUGCCUCAGUAAUUACACACUGAGCAGCUUAAACUCUUACAGUAUACAAGGCUCAUUAAAACAGGCAGCCAUUUUCUCUCAGAAUAUCAAAGAGCCCUCUUAUAUCUGAGAUGGAGAUGUCAGGGUGAAGUUCAUGUAAACCAACUGAAGUUCUUUCAGGCCUAGGCUCUGGGCUCUUAUUGGAUGGAGCUCUGGCUCAGAUCAAAUCAAAUUUUAUUAGUCACAUGCGCCGAAAUGCUUACUUACGAGCUCCUAACCAACAAUGCAGAUAAGAAUCAGAGAUAAAAGUAACAAGUAAUUAAAGAGCAGCAGUGAAAUAACAACAGUGAGACUAUAUGCAGGGGGUUACCGAUACAGAGUCAAUGUGCGGGGGCAUCGGUUAGUUGAGGUAGUAUGUACAGUACAUGUAGGUAUAGUUAUUAAAGUUACUAUGCAUAGAGUGAGUAGCAGUGGUGUAAAGAGGGGGUGGGGGGAUAGUCUGGGCAGCCAUGUGACUAGAUGUUCAGGGGUCUUAUGGUUUGGGGGUAGAAGCUGUUUAGAGGCCUCUUGGACCUAGACUUGGCACUACGGUAUCGCUUGCCGUACGGUAGCAGAAAGAGCAGUCUAUAACUAGGGUAGCUGGAGUCUUUGACCAUUUUUAGGGCCUUCUUCUGACACGGUCUGGUAUAGAGGUCCUGGAUUGCAGGAAGCUUGGCCCCAGUGA